UGAACCAAGGACACGUAGGAAGAAAGGAUUGAACAAGGAUAUUUAUUUUAUCAAGGAACGAUAUUUAACUUGAACAGUAUAACAGGAAUAUUCUUUACAGGAAUGGGAAUACUUUGAACAAUAUUUAGAUUAAUUUCCUAGGAUUUAAUAAUCUAGGUGCGGGGGAAAAACUAGACAGGCAGAGAGGCCGAAGCUCGGUCCGCGAUGCUGUUAAUCACCCUGGCUUGUGACUAUACCUCUUUAUAAAAUUGAGGGAUUUAUAUCAAACCUCUUAAUCGCGAUUGUAAACUGGAAGUUAAAGACUCUAUUUAUGUGACUCUAUUCAAGAAUAUGGAUGUUGUAAGCCGGACAGGCAGAAAGACCGAGGUACAAUCCGCGAUGCUGGUCAACCCGACCCUACAGACAAGUUAGGAAGCCGAGACAGGCAGAAAGACCGAGGUACGAUCCGCGAUGCUGGUCAACCAACUUGUAGAUCAAAAACUAUCGAGUGGAAAGUCAGAGACUGACCACUCUUGGUGGGGUAGAGCAC
Molecule: unclassified non-coding RNA, 529 nt
Filed under: Athalia rosae (coleseed sawfly)
Lineage: Eukaryota; Metazoa; Arthropoda; Insecta; Hymenoptera; Athaliidae
Description: misc RNA ENSAEAG00005002714.1
Source: RNAcentral